GAUGAACGCUGGCGGCGUGCCUAAUACAUGCAAGUCGAGCGAACAGACGAGGAGCUUGCUCCUCUGACGUUAGCGGCGGACGGGUGAGUAACACGUGGAUAACCUACCUAUAAGACUGGGAUAACUUCGGGAAACCGGAGCUAAUACCGGAUAAUAUAUUGAACCGCAUGGUUCAAUAGUGAAAGACGGUUUUGCUGUCACUUAUAGAUGUAUCCGCGCCGCCUUAGCUAGUUGGUAAGGUAACGGCUUACCAAGGCAACGAUGCGUAUCCGACCUGAGAGGGUGAUCGGCCACACUGGAACUGAGACACGGUCCAGACUCCUACGGGAGGCAGCAGUAGGGAAUCUUCCGCAAUGGGCGAAAGCCUGACGGAGCAACGCCGCGUGAGUGAUGAAGGUCUUCGGAUCGUAAAACUCUGUUAUUAGGGAAGAACAAAUGUGUAAGUAACUAUGCACGUCUUGACGGUACCUAAUCAGAAAGCCACGGCUAACUACGUG
Molecule: ribosomal RNA, 497 nt
Filed under: uncultured bacterium
Lineage: Bacteria
Description: partial 16S ribosomal RNA
Rfam family: Bacterial small subunit ribosomal RNA
Source: RNAcentral